AGAGUUUGAUCCUGGCUCAGAACGAACGCUGGCGGCGUGCUUAACACAUGCAAGUCGAACGGGAUUAGGGGCUUGCUCCUAAUCUAGUGGCGCACGGGUGAGUAACGCGUGGAUAAUCUGCCCGGUGAUCUGGGAUAACAUCUCGAAAGGGGUGCUAAUACCGGAUAAGCCCACGGGGUCUUCGGACCUUGCGGGAAAAGAGGGGGACCUUCGGGCCUCUUGUCACUGGAUGAGUCCGCGUACCAUUAGCUAGUUGGUAGGGUAAAGGCCUACCAAGGCGACGAUGGUUAGCUGGUCUGAGAGGAUGAUCAGCCACACUGGAACUGAGACACGGUCCAGACUCCUACGGGAGGCAGCAGUGGGGAAUUUUGCGCAAUGGGGGAAACCCUGACGCAGCAACGCCGCGUGAGUGAUGAAGGCCUUCGGGUCGUAAAGCUCUGUCAGAGGGAAAGAAAUGUGGGGUGUUAAUACCAUUUCCACUUGACGUUACCCUCAGAGGAAGCACCGGCUAACUCCGUGCCAGCAGCCGCGGUAAUACGGAGGGUGCGAGCGUUGUUCGGAUUUAUUGGGCGUAAAGCGCGUGUAGGCGGUUUCUUAAGUCUGAUGUGAAAGCCCCGGGCCCAACCUGGGAAGUGCAUUGGAUACUGGGAGACUUGAGUACGGGAGAGGGUAGUGGAAUUCCUAGUGUAGGAGUGAAAUCCGUAGAUAUUAGGAGGAACACCGGUGGCGAAGGCGGCUGCCUGGACCGAUACUGACGCUGAGACGCGAAAGCGUGGGGAGCAAACAGGAUUAGAUACCCUGGUAGUCCACGCCGUAAACGAUGAGUACUAGGUGUUGCGGGUAUUGACCCCUGCAGUGCCGCAGCUAACGCAUUAAGUACUCCGCCUGGGAAGUACGGUCGCAAGACUAAAACUUAAAGGAAUUGAUGG
This 929-nucleotide ribosomal RNA is filed under the name uncultured bacterium. Its description in RNAcentral is "bacterial SSU rRNA". It matches the Rfam family "Bacterial small subunit ribosomal RNA", at positions 8 to 916 of the family's 1533-position model. The record is from RNAcentral.